GCGCCUGUAGCUCAGCGGAUAGAGCAGUUCCCUUCUAAGGAAAAGGUCGCAGGUUCGAUUCCCGCCAGGCGCGCCA
This 76-nucleotide transfer RNA is filed under the name candidate division WWE3 bacterium RIFOXYC1_FULL_39_7. RNAcentral's name for it is "tRNA-Arg". It matches the Rfam family "tRNA". From Rfam's summary of the family: Transfer RNA (tRNA) molecules are approximately 80 nucleotides in length. Their secondary structure includes four short double-helical elements and three loops (D, anti-codon, and T loops). The record is from RNAcentral. Lineage: Bacteria; candidate division WWE3.